Molecule: ribosomal RNA, 342 nt
Filed under: Cryptobatrachus remotus
Lineage: Eukaryota; Metazoa; Chordata; Amphibia; Anura; Hemiphractidae
Description: partial 16S ribosomal RNA
Rfam family: Bacterial large subunit ribosomal RNA (bases 165-342)
Source: RNAcentral
GCCAAAAACCUAGCCCUAAUUUUUCUACACACAAAACUUCAUGUAUUUAAUAUUAUUAAAACAUUUUAACGACUUAGUAAAGGCGAUUGAAAAACUAUUUAGAGCUAUAAAUAUUGUACCGCAAGGGAACGAUGAAAUAAUAAUGAAACAUAAAUCAAGCACAAAAAAGCAGAGUUUACACCUCGUACCUUUUGCAUCAUGAUUUAACUAGUCAUAUCAAGCAAAACGAAUUUAAGUUUGAACCCCCGAAACUAAGUGAGCUACUUCGAGGCAGUUUAACGAGCGAACCCGUCCCUGUUGCAAAAGGGUGGGAAGACCCCCAAGUAGAGGUGAAAAGCCUAC